CGUACUCACGGUGCACGCUCUUGCAUCUGUUAAUAUUCGAUGAAUAGUUUGAAGAUAAAUAAAGAACAAAACUAUGCGACGUGAAGGCUCAAAAAUUGAAAAAUGCUCACAAUUCUCCUGCACUUUUUCUGGAGGAGUGAGAGGCUGGCUGUGGAGUUGCGACAAGAACCAGCUAUAUCAUGGUCAGCAGAGUAGCCUGAUAUACGGAUAAACAGGAGGGUGGAUUGCGCCAGGAAAGCCAUCCUUCAUAAGCGCACAACAUAAAACAGACCACUCUGAGGACUUUCUCGUGCAAGCUAAUAGCAUUCACUUAGCAUAUUGA
Molecule: long non-coding RNA, 322 nt
Filed under: Elaeis guineensis (African oil palm)
Lineage: Eukaryota; Viridiplantae; Streptophyta; Magnoliopsida; Arecales; Arecaceae
Description: long non-coding RNA (EGUI_LNC006624)
Source: RNAcentral